GACGAACGCUGGCGGCGUGCUUAACACAUGCAAGUCGAACGGUAAGGCCCUUCGGGGUACACGAGUGGCGAACGGGUGAGUAACACGUGGGUGAUCUGCCCUGCACUUCGGGAUAAGCCUGGGAAACUGGGUCUAAUACCGGAUAGGACCACUGCCUGCAUGGGUGGUGGUGUAAAGCUUUUGCGGGGUGGGAUGGGCCCGCGGCCUAUCAGCUUGUUGGUGGGGGGAUGGCCUACCAAGGCGACGACGGGUAGCCGGCCUGAGAGGGUGGCCGGCCAGACGGGGACUGAGAUACGGCCCAGACUCCUACGGGAGGCAGCAGUGGGGAAUAUUGCACAGUGGGCGCAAGCCUGAUGCAGCGACGCCGCGUGAGGGAUGACGGCCUUCGGGUUGUAAACCUCUUUCAGCACCGACGAAGCGCAAGUGACGGUAGGUGCAGAAGAAGGACCGGCCAACUACGUGCCAGCCGCCGCGGUAA
Molecule: ribosomal RNA, 478 nt
Filed under: uncultured bacterium
Lineage: Bacteria
Description: partial 16S ribosomal RNA
Rfam family: Bacterial small subunit ribosomal RNA
Source: RNAcentral